RNAcentral lists this ribosomal RNA (442 nucleotides) under uncultured Peptococcaceae bacterium. RNAcentral describes it as "partial 16S ribosomal RNA". It matches the Rfam family "Bacterial small subunit ribosomal RNA", at positions 338 to 794 of the family's 1533-position model. Lineage: Bacteria; Bacillati; Bacillota; Clostridia; Eubacteriales; Peptococcaceae. The record is from RNAcentral.
CCUACGGGAGGCAGCAGUGGGGAAUCUUCCGCAAUGGGCGAAAGCCUGACGGAGCAACGCCGCGUGAGUGAAGAAGGCCUUCGGGUUGUAAAACUCUGUCUUCAGGGAAGAAAGAAAUGACGGUACCUGAGGAGGAAGCCCCGGCUAACUACGUGCCAGCAGCCGCGGUAAAACGUAGGGGGCGAGCGUUGUCCGGAAUUACUGGGCGUAAAGGGCGCGUAGGCGGUUAUCCAAGUCAGAGGUGAAACCUGCCGGCUUAACCGGUAGCCUGCCUCUGAAACUGGGUGACUUGAGGGCAGGAGAGGGGAGUGGAAUUCCCAGUGUAGCGGUGAAAUGCGUAGAUAUUGGGAGGAACACCGGUGGCGAAGGCGGCUCUCUGGCCUGUUACUGACGCUGAGGCGCGAAAGCGUGGGGAGCAAACGGGAUUAGAUACCCCUGUAGU